RNAcentral lists this ribosomal RNA (1100 nucleotides) under uncultured bacterium. Its description in RNAcentral is "bacterial SSU rRNA". It matches the Rfam family "Bacterial small subunit ribosomal RNA", at positions 202 to 1316 of the family's 1533-position model. The record is from RNAcentral.
AACUGUCUCAGCUUUSUGUGCUGAAAGAUGUCCUCGCGUCUGAUUAGAUAGUUGGUGGGGUAACGGCCCACCAAGUCGACGAUCAGUAGCCGGUCUGAGAGGAUGAACGGCCACAUUGGGACUGAGAUACGGCCCAGACUCCUACGGGAGGCAGCAGUGGGGAAUAUUGGGCAAUGGGGGAAACCCUGACCCAGCAACGCCGCGUGAAGGAAGAAGGCCUUCGGGUUGUAAACUUCUUUUAGCAGGGACGAAGGACGUGACGGUACCUGCAGAAAAAGCAACGGCUAACUACGUGCCAGCAGCCGCGGUAAUACGUAGGUUGCAAGCGUUGUCCGGAUUUACUGGGUGUAAAGGGCGUGUAGGCGGAGAUGCAAGUUGGGAGUGAAAUCCCGGGGCUCAACCCCGGAACUGCUUUCAAAACUGCAUCCCUUGAGUAUCGGAGAGGCAAGCGGAAUUCCUAGUGUAGCGGUGAAAUGCGUAGAUAUUAGGAGGAACACCAGUGGCGAAGGCGGCUUGCUGGACGACAACUGACGCUGAGGCGCGAAAGCGUGGGGAGCAAACAGGAUUAGAUACCCUGGUAGUCCACGCUGUAAACGAUGAAUACUAGGUGUGGGAGGACUGACCCCUUCCGUGCCGCAGUUAACACAAUAAGUAUUCCACCUGGGGAGUACGACCGCAAGGUUGAAACUCAAAGGAAUUGACGGGGGCCCGCACAAGCAGUGGAUUAUGUGGUUUAAUUCGACGCAACGCGAAGAACCUUACCAGGACUUGACAUCCAACUAACGAAGUAGAGAUACAUUAGGUGCCCUUCGGGGAAAGUUGAGACAGGUGGUGCAUGGUUGUCGUCAGCUCGUGUCGUGAGAUGUUGGGUUAAGUCCCGCAACGAGCGCAACCCCUAUUGUUAGUUGCUACGCAAGAGCACUCUAGCGAGACUGCCGUUGACAAAACGGAGGAAGGCGGGGACGACGUCAAAUCAUCAUGCCCCUUAUGUCCUGGGCUACACACGUAAUACAAUGGCCGUCAACAAAGGGAAGCAAUACUGCGAAGUGGAGCAAAUCCCCAAWAACGGUCUCAGUUCGGACUGCAGGCUGCUAUUGGCU